Piliocolobus tephrosceles (Ugandan red Colobus) is the source of this 1828-nucleotide long non-coding RNA. Lineage: Eukaryota; Metazoa; Chordata; Mammalia; Primates; Cercopithecidae. The record is from Ensembl.
AUGCCACUACCACCAACAAUGCCACUACCACCAACAAUGCCACUACCACCAACAAUUCCACUACCACCUACAAUGUCAUUACCACCAACAAUGCCACUACCACCACCACUACCUCCUGUACUAUUCAAAUGUAUAGAAUUAUUUAAACAAAAUAAAUUUCCACUAUUGUUUAAUCCCAUGUUUGUUCCUAACGCUGCAUUCAUGUGCAUACCACUGUUUAUGUUAUUCGCACUUCCAAUAGUUGUGGCAGUAUUACUACUACUGUUACUAGCACCUGUCAUGUUCAUAUUGUUACUGUUACUGUUGUUGUUAUUGUUGUUGUUAUUGUUGUUGUUAUUGUUGUUGUUAUUGUUGUUGUUAUUGUUGUUGUUAUUGUUGUUGUUAUUGUUGUUGUUAUUGUUGUUGUUAUUGUUGUUGUUAUUGUUGUUGUUGUUAUUGUUGUUACUACCUUUAUUACUGUUAUUAGUUCCAUCAUUAUUAUUAUUACUACUGUUACUAUUAUUAUUACUGCUAUUACUACUGUUACUAUUAUUAUUACUGCUAUUACUACUAUUAUUAUUAUUGUUAUUGCUAUUGCUAUUACCAUUGCUACUACUGUUAUUAUUAUUGUUAUUGCUACUAUUACUACUUCCAUUACUACUAUUUCCAUCGUUUUCGUUACUGUCACUGCAGUUACUAGUACUAAGAUUAUGGUCCGUAUUAAUGCUUUUUGUGUUUAAACUUUUAUUAUCAUCAUGUUUACAUUCUUUGUUCAUAAUGUUAUUAUUACUGUUAUCUGGGAUUUUUUCAGGUAUGUUUGACAAGUCACAAAAAUCGAUAGAUAUUUUUUCGGAGCUACAUUUUUUUUCAUCACUACAUCUACCACUGUUAUCCUUAUGACCAAAUGCAUUAUCCUUUUUUUUUUUUAACUAAACAAGUAUUAUUACUAUUAUAAUUAUCAUGACAAUUUACUCCAAUCAUUUUAUCAUAAUCCUUCUUAUCAUAAUUUAAACUCUCAUUCGAUUUAUCUUCUUUAUACUGUGCUGCAUUAUUUUGUUGUGAAAUGUUACUAUCAUUAUAAACGUCGCCAACACAACUUAUAUAUUUUUUUAACUCUUUAUCAUUGUUCGUGACGAUGUUAUCAUUAGAGCUAUUGUCGUUACUGUGUAUGUUGUUAUCCAUGCUGAUGUUAAUGCUACUACUAAGACUCGAUUGGGGUGUAUAAGUACUACAACCAGCACUCACAAUACUACAAGUCGUGCCCUCGCUUCCAUCAGUUGUAUCACUUUUCAUAUUGCUAUUAAAUGUACCUAUUUCUUUAUUAUUUAAUACUCCUGUACUUAAUUCAGAUAUAUCCGCAUCUUGCUUGUUAGUAAAUUCUUCACUUUUAUAUGCUUCUUUUUUUUCAUUCUUCAUAGUAUUAGUCACAUUAGUUACAUCCAAUUCUUUUUGCUUUAAGUAACUUAUAACAUUUUCACCUUCUUUUGCCUCUUCUCUACAUGUACUUGUUGUACUGAAGGAUGUUUGGCUCUUAAUUCCGUUUAUCAUUUUAUCGUAUUCUGUUAUAUCUUUGCUUAGUAUAAUAUCACUUUGCAUUGUUCCCAAAAUUUGUUUUUUCUAAAAGAAUAUAUUAAUUAAUGCUUUUUAGAUAUCUAUGCGUAUCUUAGCUUAAAAGUGUACAUACAUAUAUAUAUAUAUAUAUGCUUAAACAAAUAUAUUUAUGUAUAUACAAGGUAAACAUACACACAUACGUUUUAUUAAAGUUCUAUUAUGUUAUGUUAACCUAUUCACUUAACACGUGUUACAAUUAAAAAAUAAAAUUAAAUUAACAAAAAUGGUAUAUAUGUAU